GAUGAGCGCUGGCGGCGUGCCUAAUACAUGCAAGUCGAGCGAACAGACGAGGAGCUUGCUCCUCUGACGUUAGCGGCGGACGGGUGAGUAACACGUGGAUAGCCUACCUAUAAGACUGGGAUAACUUCGGGAAACCGGAGCUAAUACCGGAUAAUAUAUUGAACCGCAUGGUUCAAUAGUGAAAGACGGUUUUGCUGUCACUUAUAGAUGGAUCCGCGCCGCAUUAGCUAGUUGGUAAGGUAACGGCUUACCAAGGCAACGAUGCGUAGCCGGCCUGAGAGGGUGAUCGGCCACACUGGAACUGAGACACGGUCCAGACUCCUACGGGAGGCAGCAGUAGGGAAUCUUCCGCAAUGGGCGAAAGCCUGACGGAGCAACGCCGCGUGAGUGAUGAAGGUCUUCGGAUCGUAAAACUCUGUUAUUAGGGAAGAACAAAUGUGUAAGUAACUAUGCACGUCUUGACGGUACCUAGUCAGAAAGCCACGGCUAACUACGUG
This 497-nucleotide ribosomal RNA is filed under the name uncultured bacterium. Its description in RNAcentral is "partial 16S ribosomal RNA". It matches the Rfam family "Bacterial small subunit ribosomal RNA", at positions 28 to 507 of the family's 1533-position model. The record is from RNAcentral.